CGCCAGACUCCUACGGGAGGCAGCAGUGGGGAAUAUUGCACAAUGGGGGGAACCCUGAUGCAGCGACGCCGCGUGGGUGAAGGAGUACUUCGGUACGUAAAGCCCUAUCAGCAGGAAAGAAAAUGACGGUACCUGACUAAGAAGCACCGGCUAAAUACGUGCCAGCAGCCGCGGUAAUACGUAUGGUGCAAGCGUUAUCCGGAUUUACUGGGUGUAAAGGGAGCGCAGGCGGCGCGUUAAGCCUGGUGUGAAAGCCCGCGGCCCAACCGCGGGACUGCAUUGGGAACUGGCGCGCUGGAGUGCCGGAGGGGUAGGCGGAAUUCCUAGUGUAGCGGUGAAAUGCGUAGAUAUUAGGAGGAACACCAGUGGCGAAGGCGGCUUACUGGACUGUAACUGACGUUGAGGCUCGAAGGCGUGGGGAGCAAACAGGAUUAGAUACCCCCGUAGAC
This 449-nucleotide ribosomal RNA is filed under the name uncultured bacterium. Its description in RNAcentral is "bacterial SSU rRNA". It matches the Rfam family "Bacterial small subunit ribosomal RNA", at positions 329 to 795 of the family's 1533-position model. The record is from RNAcentral.